CCUUUGUAAUAGUCGAAGCCGAACUCGACGCC
RNAcentral lists this non-coding RNA (32 nucleotides) under Geobacter sulfurreducens PCA. The record is from RNAcentral. Lineage: Bacteria; Pseudomonadati; Thermodesulfobacteriota; Desulfuromonadia; Geobacterales; Geobacteraceae.